Non-coding RNA from Punica granatum (pomegranate), 1365 nucleotides. NCBI's taxonomy places the organism in Eukaryota, Viridiplantae, Streptophyta, Magnoliopsida, Myrtales, Lythraceae. The record is from RefSeq and is a predicted model, not a curated record.
CUCAAAACCCGUUCGUACGAAAUAUUUCGCAAUGGCACCCUUCUUGAAUCCCUAAUUUAAAUUUCCGCCGCCCCCAAACAACCCAAACCCAACCCAACCUUCGAACUCUUAAUCAGAAUCGACAUCGACCGCAGAAGCAAAGGAAGGAAGAGGGAGCGGGUUCUGCACCAUCCCCGGAGCCACUCGAUACGCCCAAGCCCGGUCUUCUUCGGAUUCUUCCACUCGGAGUUCGAGUCUCCCACUUUCUGCUCGGUGACAGGAGCCGGAGUUCUUGCAGUUCUUCCACUCGGAACUCUGUCACUCCCCGGAGAAUUAUAGAAAAUGGCUGGUUCAAAGCUAAAUGUGUUAGGAAAAAAUCAACAAUGAAGGGGAAUACCCCUCCAUCAGGCGAGCCAUCCACAGAUUCUCCAGCACAAAGGCAGUCAGCUCCUCUGGGUACACGGAAGCAGUCAGUGCCUCCGGUCAGCUCUACACGGAGGCAGCCAGCUCCAAAACUCUGUCCAGAAGACUUUUAGACGGGAGUUCUAGGGAUUCCAGUCCAGAGUAAAGAAGGGUGAAGGUCCCCUUGUGAUUGAAAAGAUAAAGACCCCCCGCGCGCCCCCCCCCCCCCGGGUCAAUGAUAAAGACUUUACUGAAGCUGCAUUUGCCUCCCACCCGCCCCCAAACAGCUUUUUUGUCCCUUUCAAUUUUAUAAAAUUAAUCAAAACUCUAACAUAUAUAUAUAUAUAUAUAUGUAUAUAAAAUUCUCUCCUUUCUAUAUAUAGAUACUAUAUAAUCACUAUGUUAAUAUUUCAUAUAAACUUUUGCCUUUUCUAUAUUUUUCUUAUCAUAUCAUUUAAUUAAGUGUCUCUUCUUUUUCUUUUUUUUUUCACUACGUCUAUAUAUUCAUUAAACUAAGACAAUUUCAAAUUUAAAGUAUUAUAUCAAAUUUUUACGCGAUAUUAAUUUGUUAAUAUUUUAUAAUUUUCAAUAUUACAGAUAUCGUUUCUCGCUCUUCGAUCAUACUGACUAUAUUAAUGUAAGGGUAUAAGGAUUAUAUUGAUGAAAAAUGGAAACAAAAAUUCUAUAAAAAUGAUAAAAAAAAGCCCAAAUAAAAAAUAUAGACAUAAGGACAUUUGUGAUACACAUCAAUUUGGAUGAACUUGAUGUGAUUAAGGAUAAAAUUGAUGUGAGUAAGGACUAAAUUGGAGUGGCCAAACACUAAAUUGAUGUGAUCAUGGAUAAAAUUGAUGUGAUCAUCGAUCUAAUUGAUGCAAUAUUUUUUUCAGGGAUUCAAUUGAUGCAAUUUGUAUAAGUCAUGAACGAAAUUGUCAACUUACUUGAUUUAGAGUAAAAGAACAUUAGAGUGGCAUAUUAUUUACAGUU